RNAcentral lists this ribosomal RNA (484 nucleotides) under uncultured bacterium. RNAcentral describes it as "partial 16S ribosomal RNA". It matches the Rfam family "Bacterial small subunit ribosomal RNA", at positions 30 to 507 of the family's 1533-position model. The record is from RNAcentral.
AUUGAACGCUGGCGGUAUGCCUUACACAUGCAAGUCGAACGGCAGCGCGGUAUUCGCCUUCGCGGCGAGUGGCGAACGGGCGAGUAAUAGAUCGAUACGUGCCCAUCUGCGGGGGCUUGGUCGGUGACAGCCGGAAUAAUACCGUAAUAGACCAUAGGGCGAAAGCGUGGGAUCAUCGGAUCUUCCGCCAUUGCAGCGGUCGAUGGCCGAUUAGCUAGUUGGUGGGGUAAAGGCCUACCAAGGCGACGAUCCGUAGCUGGUCUGAGAGGAUGACCAGCCACACUGGAACUGAGACACGGCCCAGACUCCUACGGGAGGCAGCAGUGGGGAAUAUUGGACAAUGGGCGAAAGCCUGAUCCAGCAAUGCCGCGUGUGUGAUGAAGGCCUUCGGGUUGUAAAGCACUUUUGGCGGGAACGAAAAGGACUGUGCCAAUACCACGGUUCGAUGACGGUACCCACAGAAUAAGCACCGGCUAACUACGUG